GCAUUGGUGGUUCGGUGGUAGAAUUCUUGCUUUCCAUCCAGAAGACCCAGGUACGAUUCCUGGCCGACGCA
RNAcentral lists this transfer RNA (71 nucleotides) under Loxodonta africana (African savanna elephant). It matches the Rfam family "tRNA". From Rfam's summary of the family: Transfer RNA (tRNA) molecules are approximately 80 nucleotides in length. Their secondary structure includes four short double-helical elements and three loops (D, anti-codon, and T loops). The record is from Rfam by way of RNAcentral. Lineage: Eukaryota; Metazoa; Chordata; Mammalia; Proboscidea; Elephantidae.